AGUGAACGCUGGCGGUAGGCCUAACACAUGCAAGUCGAACGGCAGCACAGUAAGAGCUUGCUCUUACGGGUGGCGAGUGGCGGACGGGUGAGGAAUACAUCGGAAUCUACUUUUUCGUGGGGGAUAACGUAGGGAAACUUACGCUAAUACCGCAUACGACCUACGGUUGAAAGCAGGGGAUCUUCGGACCUUGCGCGAUUGAAUGAGCCGAUGUCGGAUUAGCUAGUUGGCGGGGUAAAGGCCCACCAAGGCGACGAUCCGUAGCUGGUCUGAGAGGAUGAUAAGCCACACUGGAACUGAGACACGGUCCAGACUCCUACGGGAGGCAGCAGUGGGGAAUAUUGGACAAUGGGCGCAAGCAUGAUCCAGCCAUACCGCGUGGGUGAAGAAGGCCUUCGGGUUGUAAAGCCCUUUUGUUGGGAAAGAAAAGCAGCAGGUUAAUACCCCGCUGUUCUGACGGUACCCAAAGAAUAAGCACCGGCUAACUUCGUG
Molecule: ribosomal RNA, 492 nt
Filed under: uncultured bacterium
Lineage: Bacteria
Description: partial 16S ribosomal RNA
Rfam family: Bacterial small subunit ribosomal RNA
Source: RNAcentral